AUUGAACGCUGGCGGCAUGCCUUACACAUGCAAGUCGAACGGCAGCAUGGGUGCUUGCACCUGAUGGCGAGUGGCGAACGGGUGAGUAUGCAUCGGAACGUGCCCUGAAGCGGGGGAUACCGUAGCGAAAGUUACGCUAAUACUGCAUAGUCUGUGAGCCGGAAAGAGGGGGAUCGCACGACAUGUUGCUUGACGAGCGGCCGAUGUGGAAUUAGAGGGUUGGUGGGGUAAGGGCUCACCAAGGCGACGAGCCGUAGCGGGUCUGAGAGGAUGAUCCGCCACACUGGGACUGAGACACGGCCCAGGCUCCUACGGGGGGCAGCAGUGGGGAAUUUUGGACAAUGGGCGCAAGCCUGAUCCAGCCAUGCCGCGUGAGUGAAGAAGGCCUUCGGGUUGUAAAGCUCUUUCGGUUGGGAAGAAAUUGCUUGGGUUAAUACCCUAAGUAGAUGACGGUACCAGCAUAAGAAGCACCGGCUAACUACGUGCCAGCAGCCGCGGUAA
This 501-nucleotide ribosomal RNA is filed under the name uncultured bacterium. RNAcentral describes it as "partial 16S ribosomal RNA". It matches the Rfam family "Bacterial small subunit ribosomal RNA", at positions 29 to 523 of the family's 1533-position model. The record is from RNAcentral.